Molecule: long non-coding RNA, 1119 nt
Organism: Sarcophilus harrisii (Tasmanian devil)
Lineage: Eukaryota; Metazoa; Chordata; Mammalia; Dasyuromorphia; Dasyuridae
Exons: 3
Source: RefSeq, a predicted model, not a curated record
UCACUCCCAGCAUCCUCCGGGACGAGGAUGCCGUCUCACUGUCUGCCGCACAAAAACCAUCGCUAGCCACCAUCAGCAACUUCAGUCACUCAUGUUAAGCCAUAGGAGAUCUCAUCCAUUAAAAGCCUUUGCAAAACCAAAAGGGCCAAGGAAGCAUCAGCCAUGGCUCCCAUACCUCUCACUGUGCGACAAUGUCAUUCAGGGAAAGUGAUCUUGUGUUCCCAAUUCCGUGGCUCACAGGAUGAGAAGAUGCUUCUGGGAUCAGCCAGAGCCCUGGCCGGGGCAGUCAGCCGGACGGUGGACAGUGUGUCAUGGAUGACGCUUCAGAUUCAGAGGAGGACAAUGAAUGUUUGCUGAGUAGAUGAACGAAUGAAAAAAUGAAUGAGUGAAACCAGUGAUGGAGGGGGUGGAGAAAGCUGUGACUCCAACACCAGAGGCCUUGCAUUCAGAUCCUACCUCUUGAGACCUGCUAGCUGGGGUACGUGCUAAGAAAGCUUCUGAGGAGCAGAGAGCAAGGGCCUCAACCCUACCGAAAUGGGAUUAACCAAAGAGCUCCCAGGAGAAGGCUCCUCCUCCCAAGAGCUGCCCAGGCCCUUCUCUGCAGCUUUUAUUUCCUAUUCCUCCCACCAAAGCAUCCUCCUCCAGUCCUACACAUUAGCAUGGAUAUUAAAAGUUAAUCCAUCCUGAGGAAUUGCUAAUCCGUGCCCCUUCUACCUUUAUUGAAGUGUCAUUGAGAGUCCCAAGGGAGACGAAUAGGAUUGGUAAGACAUCCUAGCUGCGUGUGCCCUCCACCCAUCCCAUGACGGCAGCUGCCAAAGCUGACAGCCUUCAAGGAUGACAUCUGGAUAGAGCAGCGGAGCACUGCCCCACCGCCGACUGGAGGGAGAUCCAUGGAGAAGCAGGGAGAGCCAAGGAGAGGGAGCUAGCCCUUGCCCAGGCUGGAAAGCGGACCACAAAAACUCUCUGUCUUUAUAACAUGAGGUCCCUGACUGACACCCUCGGCUAUUAGGGUCUUCCCUCUUUAAAAAAAUCAAUAUCUUGCAUCUAUAUGUGUGUAUACAUACACACAAAUAAAUCAAUCAGAUAGACCUACAUGGAUCUAUCUAUGUCUAUAAUGUA